RNAcentral lists this non-coding RNA (74 nucleotides) under Gallionella capsiferriformans ES-2. Its description in RNAcentral is "Burkholderia RNA 7 (anti-hemB)". It matches the Rfam family "Burkholderia RNA 7 (anti-hemB)". Rfam says of the family: This RNA motif was identified by computational search in b-proteobacteria Burkholderia. Co-purified with Hfq, expression confirmed by Northern blot. Putative functional homologue of SP-RydB and predicted target hemB. Lineage: Bacteria; Pseudomonadati; Pseudomonadota; Betaproteobacteria; Nitrosomonadales; Gallionellaceae. The record is from Rfam by way of RNAcentral.
UCCACGUUUCUCCUCCCUGAGCGUGUCUUAACCUUGUUAAGAUUUUGGCCCCCACUUGUUGGGGGCUUUUUUUU